Molecule: transfer RNA, 71 nt
Filed under: Stegodyphus mimosarum
Lineage: Eukaryota; Metazoa; Arthropoda; Arachnida; Araneae; Eresidae
Rfam family: tRNA
About the family: Transfer RNA (tRNA) molecules are approximately 80 nucleotides in length. Their secondary structure includes four short double-helical elements and three loops (D, anti-codon, and T loops). Further hydrogen bonds mediate the characteristic L-shaped molecular structure. tRNAs have two regions of fundamental functional importance: the anti-codon, which is responsible for specific mRNA codon recognition, and the 3' end, to which the tRNAs corresponding amino acid is attached (by aminoacyl-tRNA synthetases). tRNAs cope with the degeneracy of the genetic code in two manners: having more than one tRNA (with a specific anti-codon) for a particular amino acid; and 'wobble' base-pairing, i.e. permitting non-standard base-pairing at the 3rd anti-codon position.
Source: Rfam by way of RNAcentral
GCCUUCGUCGUGUAACGGUAGAACACUCGGCGCGUAUUUAAGAGGUUCAGGUUCGAGUCCCGGCGAAGGCA